This 614-nucleotide ribosomal RNA is filed under the name Aspergillus awamori. RNAcentral describes it as "eukaryotic LSU rRNA". It matches the Rfam family "Eukaryotic large subunit ribosomal RNA", at positions 38 to 667 of the family's 3401-position model. Lineage: Eukaryota; Fungi; Ascomycota; Eurotiomycetes; Eurotiales; Aspergillaceae. The record is from RNAcentral.
GCAUAUCAAUAAGCGGAGGAAAAGAAACCAACCGGGAUUGCCUCAGUAACGGCGAGUGAAGCGGCAAGAGCUCAAAUUUGAAAGCUGGCUCCUUCGGAGUCCGCAUUGUAAUUUGCAGAGGAUGCUUUGGGUGCGGCCCCCGUCUAAGUGCCCUGGAACGGGCCGUCAGAGAGGGUGAGAAUCCCGUCUUGGGCGGGGUGUCCGUGCCCGUGUAAAGCUCCUUCGACGAGUCGAGUUGUUUGGGAAUGCAGCUCUAAAUGGGUGGUAAAUUUCAUCUAAAGCUAAAUACUGGCCGGAGACCGAUAGCGCACAAGUAGAGUGAUCGAAAGAUGAAAAGCACUUUGAAAGGAGAGUUAAACAGCACGUGAAAUUGUUGAAAGGGAAGCGCUUGCGACCAGACUCGCCCGCGGGGUUCAGCCGGCAUUCGUGCCGGUGUACUUCCCCGUGGGCGGGCCAGCGUCGGUUUGGGCGGCCGGUCAAAGGCCCCUGGAAUGUAGUGCCCUCCGGGGCACCUUAUAGCCAGGGGUGCAAUGCGGCCAGCCUGGACCGAGGAACGCGCUUCGGCACGGACGCUGGCAUAAUGGUCGUAAACGACCCGUCUUGAAACACGGACC